RNAcentral lists this long non-coding RNA (2385 nucleotides) under Medicago truncatula (barrel medic). RNAcentral's name for it is "long non-coding RNA (MTRU_LNC005141)". The record is from RNAcentral. Lineage: Eukaryota; Viridiplantae; Streptophyta; Magnoliopsida; Fabales; Fabaceae.
UUUGGUUAAGCCAUUAAAUUACCUACUGUAAUUCAUGAUCCAAAGUAUUAUAUAUAAGUAAAAAUAAAAUUAGAGAAGGCACUCUAGGGCAACAAUAUUAAUAAUUGUUCACAUUUUUCUACAUUAAAAUUGCAUAUCUCAUACUAUCAUUUACCAUAAUAUGAUUGAUCUCAGAAAUUUGGCCAAAUUCACCAGUGGACCAAACCCCAUCAGAACCAUUAACACGAGGAUUAGAGAGACAAGAAAGUAUUGAAAUUGGUGCUUGAAGAAUAGCAUAUAUAACUGAAAAACCACUCCAUCCAUGCCCAUGCUGUCUUCUUCCUCUUUCACCUCCAAACAUUGCUACUUCAACCCCCCUAUUCCCUUCUUCAAACAUGUUCUCAUCUGCCACCUUAGAACUCUUCUUCAUCUUAUAAAUAUUAAUCCUUCUCACUGCAGCUACAAGAUGCCACAUCUACAAUUUGAUAAAAUUGAAUUUAGAAGAGACAAUAAUUAUGUAAGUACUACUUACUAGCUUUGAUUAUUUUGAAUGAUAUUUUUCAAUAUAAAGAUAUGAUGAACUUUGAAGAAGAAAUUGAUUAUAUGAUUGAAAGGGUCAACCUCUAUUUAUGAGGGUUAAAUGAUAAUGGUAUUAAGUGGUGGUAUUGCUAGUGCUAGUGUUUAUCACCAAAGUUUUUUAUGGGUAUCUUUUAGUUUAAAGAGCCAACCAACUAUCACUAGCAUAUUUUUUUUAUUCAUUGAUAAUUAUAUGUGGGGUCUAUUCAAGCCCAACAUGCCGACAAACCUACCUAAUAGUACAAAUUAUAGUCUUCAUUUGUCAAAUUAUGGGUUUACAACUUUACAUAAUAGAUUUGCUAUAUACAUAUAGUUAUAUACUGAUUUACUAUUUUACCUAACAAAAGGGUCAAGCUUUUUGAGGUAUAGUUCUGUUCAUUUUGUGGUAUAAAUUAAAGGGUCUCAACAAAUUGAAGCUAAAUGACAAAAAAGCUAGAUAGCUAUAGAUAUUAUCAAAAGUGUGGUAAUUCUAAUCAAUCAUUUGGAUGAGUAACUUUAUCAAGAAAGAAUCAUCAAUUACCCUCCAAUGAUUUUUCUUUGUAUGACAUUGCAUUGCAUUGCAUUGUAUGGUAACAAAUUAUGAUUGUUGAUGCAAAGUUGUAUAGAUUCCCCACAAAUUUAGUCUGUGUUGGGGAAUCAAUGCCGAUACCUAUAUGUGAUGGAGACAUAUGUGGUGGCAUAGAUUAGUACCAUUUCUCCACUAAAGAUUAAGACUCUCAUGGUUAUCUAUUAUCUAUAUUCCUUUCUUGAACCUUGAAGAAAGCCAAGAUACGGAUAGAUAUGCAUAUUAUUUUAAACUAAUAAUUAGAAAAAUCAUGGUAUUGGAUUUUAAACUAACCAAAUAAGUUUUGUAUAAUAUAUCUUAAUAUGGUACAUGAUCUUUGUACUUAGGGGUGGUCCUUGGGGACAACUUGAUGAUGCCAAAGAUCAACUAGCUGGCCAUAGUGGUCCCUCACUAGGAAAUAAGAUAUUUUUUUGGUGAAGGGUAUGGGGCAAAAACCCUAACAAGAAACUAGAUUAGAGAACAUGCAGGAAGGAAACUUGGUUGACAUCGGGAGUUCGAAAUGAAAGUCAGUACUUUAUUAACACAAUAAUGUUAAGUUGAUGCUUUUUUUUUCCUAUUUUUAUUAUACACGCUGUGUGAAAAGAUAUUUUAGUAGUUUCACCUCAUGUGAAAGAGAAUGUUGGAUGAGGUGAUAAGGGUCAUAUGGUCACAUAUCAUAUUUACGUGUGGUGGUAGAAGACGUGUCUAUCACUUCUGGUGGUCAAUAUAUUCACCACUCUAAUUAAAAAAAAUUCAAAGUAAAUUUAACGAAAAUCAAACUCAUGUAAGCAAAUAUUCUAUUUUGAUAAAACAAACUAUCAAAUACUUGAUUAGCUUCCUUGGUACAUGUUUCAUUUGGGGACAACCCAAGAGUGAGCCUUGUGACAAACUUUUCUUUUUGAGGGGAGCCUUGUAACAAUCUAAGUUGAGUAAAUUAAUUGCAAAGAGAGAAUCUGGGUCAUGGCAGAUCAAUAUCGCAUGGGAUAGGGACAAUUGCCCCACAAUAUUUUUAUGUAAAUCAUAAUAAAAUUGUUCGUUGGUGGUUUAGAGCGAGAUCCUAAAGAAUCCUUUAUUUUUUUAUCUUCGAUCGUUAGUUUUUGACCAAUUUGCUCGAAAAGUGUACUUUGGUGGAGUUUUAUUUAUUUUUUCUUUGGAGUUCCCUCUCUUUGGUGUUAAAAGGUUUUGUCUUGGUUUUGUCUAGGUGGCUUUUAGUUGAUUUCUUGGUGCUAAGGGGGUUUGUCCUCUGCAGUCAUUGCUAUUCGCAAAGUGUAAUAUGGAAAUGCAUG